RNAcentral lists this ribosomal RNA (690 nucleotides) under Sarocladium sp. RNAcentral describes it as "partial large subunit ribosomal RNA". It matches the Rfam family "Eukaryotic large subunit ribosomal RNA", at positions 87 to 806 of the family's 3401-position model. Lineage: Eukaryota; Fungi; Ascomycota; Sordariomycetes; Hypocreales; Sarocladiaceae. The record is from RNAcentral.
CGGCGAGUGAAGCGGCAACAGCUCAAAUUUGAAAUCUGGCCUCACGGUCCGAGUUGUAAUUUGUAGAGGAUGCUUUUGGCAAGGUACUUUCCGAGUUCCCUGGAACGGGACGCCAUAGAGGGUGAGAGCCCCGUACGGUCAGACCACCGAGCCUCUGUAAAGCUCCUUCGACGAGUCGAGUAGUUUGGGAAUGCUGCUCUAAAUGGGAGGUGUACGUCUUCUAAAGCUAAAUACCGGCCAGAGACCGAUAGCGCACAAGUAGAGUGAUCGAAAGAUGAAAAGCACUUUGAAAAGAGGGUUAAAAAGUACGUGAAAUUGUUGAAAGGGAAGCAUUCAUGACCAGACUUGGGCUUGGUUGAACAUCCGGCGUUCUCGCCGGUGCACUCUGCCAGUCCAGGCCAGCAUCAGUUUGACCCGGGGGACAAAGGCGGCGGGAAUGUGGCUCCCCUCGGGGAGUGUUAUAGCCCGUCGUGUAAUGCCCUGGGUUGGACUGAGGAACGCGCUUCGGCACGGAUGCUGGCGUAAUGGUCAUCAAUGACCCGUCUUGAAACACGGACCAAGGAGUCGUCUUCGUAUGCGAGUGUUCGGGUGUCAAACCCCUACGCGUAAUGAAAGUGAACGUAGGUGAGAGCUUCGGCGCAUCACCGACCGAUCCUGAUGUUCUCGGAUGGAUUUGAGUAAGAGCAUACG